GAUGAACGCUGACAGAAUGCUUAACACAUGCAAGUCUACUUGAACUUCGGUUUGGGUGGCGGACGGGUGAGUAACGCGUAAAGAACUUGCCUCACAGUUAGGGACAACAUUUGGAAACGAAUGCUAAUACCUGAUAUUAUGAUUUUAGGGCAUCCUAGGAUUAUGAAAGCUAUAUGUGCUGUGAGAGAGCUUUGCGUCCCAUUAGCUAGUUGGAGAGGUAACGGCUCACCAAGGCGAUGAUGGGUAGCCGGCCUGAGAGGGUGAACGGCCACAAGGGGACUGAGACACGGCCCUUACUCCUACGGGAGGCAACAGUGGGGAAUAUUGGACAAUGGACCAAAAGUCUGAUCCAGCAAUUCUGUGUGCACGAUGACGUUUUUCGGAAUGUAAAGUGCUUUCAGUUGGGAAGAAAAAAAUGACGGUACCAACAGAAGAGGUGACGGCUAAAUACGUG
Molecule: ribosomal RNA, 454 nt
Filed under: uncultured bacterium
Lineage: Bacteria
Description: partial 16S ribosomal RNA
Rfam family: Bacterial small subunit ribosomal RNA
Source: RNAcentral